GGUUGAGUGGUGUAGUGGUUAUCACGUGUCGUUCACAUAAUUGUGAGCACUUCAAUCCGACAAGGUCCCCGGUUCGAUCCCGGGCUUAAUCA
Non-coding RNA from Vermiconidia calcicola, 92 nucleotides. The record is from the annotation of a GenBank genome assembly. NCBI's taxonomy places the organism in Eukaryota, Fungi, Ascomycota, Dothideomycetes, Mycosphaerellales, Extremaceae.